RNAcentral lists this ribosomal RNA (252 nucleotides) under uncultured bacterium. RNAcentral's name for it is "partial 16S ribosomal RNA". It matches the Rfam family "Bacterial small subunit ribosomal RNA", at positions 524 to 776 of the family's 1533-position model. The record is from RNAcentral.
UACGUAGGCAGCGAGCGUUGUUCGGAGUUACUGGCGUAAAGAGUGCGUAGGUGGUUUUCUAAGUUUGGUGUGAAAUCUCCCGGCUCAACUGGGAGGGUGCGCCGAAAACUGGAAGGCUAGAGUGUGGGAGAGGAUAGCGGAAUUCCUGGUGUAGCGGUGAAAUGCGUAGAUAUCAGGAGGAACACCUGCGGUGCAGACGGCUAUCUGGACCACUACUGACACUGAGGCACGAAAGCGUGGGGAGCAAACAGG